GGCCCCUGUCCAGGACGCAUGGGCUCAGGGCCCACGGUACAGCUCCCGGCAAUGUUGAGUGACUUUUCCAUCGCACACAUCCUGGCUUUGUGGAAGCAAGAUGGGCUUUCACAAGUAAGGCUCUGAGAAGUCACCCCAGACAGCAGAAGAAAGCGAACACAGCCGUGGGACCAGAUCGAGAUGCAGAACACUGCCACUUGUGAGCAUUACAUGCAUGUAAGCCUUCCGGUCCUCCAGUCUCCCCCGAGGAUAACUCUAUCCUGACCCCUAGCAUCACAGAUUACGCUUCCUAUUUGGUUUUUAAUGAAUGUCAUCACAUCGUCCGCACUCUUCCGCGUUUGGCUUCUUUUAUUCAACCUUGUGUCUGGGAUUCGUUUGUGGUGCCGCUUACAUUCCAGGAUGUGGCUGUGAUCCUCACAGAUUCAGAAUGGAAGGGACUGAGCUCUGAGCAGAGGAACCUACACAAAGAAGUGAUGCUGGAGAAUUACAGGAAUCUGCUCUGUUGGCAGAACCAAAGGCAGAAAUCUACCCCCAUGCCUCCUGCCUUCUAGCCGUCUCCUGCCAGCAACUUCUCAGCCAACAUGUGCCUCAGAUCUUUCUGGGCUUCUGUGUAGGGCAUCACUCGCAUCCAGGGGGUCCUGGCCCAGGGCAUCAAGAGCAGCAGUAUUCUGCUCAGAGCUGCUGCACUGGAGACACAGAAGGUCAUGGGAGGCAAGGUGGCCUCCCUGGUGUGCGAAGACAGAGGAGACGGAGACUCCGGGCGCAUUCCCCAGCCCGCCCGAGGACGGUCCGCAAGAACUAGAGAAGGCAACGUGGCGGGUCGAGAGAGGGCCCCCCUCAGCCCUAGCCCGUGUGCAAACAGACAAAGGAGUGAAAAAAGCCACAAGAUCUGGAGCAGCCAGCUGUACGGAAUGUGAACUAGACCGUAGCCCCAAGUCAGACCUCAUUACAAAGCAGACGGCCCACUUCCAGGAGAAACCCGAUGUUUGCAGGGAGUGCGGGUGAGGCUUUAAAGUGAAGUCAACCCUCAUCAGACACCAUCGGACAUGCUCAGGGGAGAAGCUUUAUGUGUGCGGGGAGUGUGGGCGGAGCUUUAGAAAUAAGUCAGUCCUCACUGGACAUCAGUGGAUUCACUCUGUGGAGAAGCCUUAUGUUUGUGGCGAGUGUGGGUGAGCCUUCAGCGAGAAGUCCUCCUUCCUCAGACAUCAGAGGACACGCUCCUGCUCCCGGGAGAAACACUACGCAUGCCUGGAGUGUGGGCGAGGCUUUAGCCAUAAGUCAAAUGUGAAAAAAAAUUUUUUUUUAAUUUUUAUUUAUUUUUGAGAGAGAGAGAGAGAGAAAGCAGGGGAGGAACAGAGAGAGAAGGAGACACAGAAUCUGAAGCAGGCUCCAGGCUCUGAGCCGUCAGCACAGAGCCUGACACAGGGCUCAAACCCACGAACCACGAGAUCAUGACCUGAGCCGAAGUCAGAUGCUUAACCGACUGAGCCGCCCAGGCGCCCCACGUUGAAUCUUAUCAGACGCCAGAGAAUACGCUGAGGCGAGAAGCCUUCUGUGGGGGGGGGGGGGGGGGGGAAUCCUGGGCAAGA
Long non-coding RNA from Prionailurus viverrinus (fishing cat), 1589 nucleotides. RefSeq lists it as uncharacterized. The transcript is spliced from 4 exons. Lineage: Eukaryota; Metazoa; Chordata; Mammalia; Carnivora; Felidae. The record is from RefSeq and is a predicted model, not a curated record.